This 461-nucleotide ribosomal RNA is filed under the name uncultured bacterium. Its description in RNAcentral is "partial 16S ribosomal RNA". It matches the Rfam family "Bacterial small subunit ribosomal RNA", at positions 338 to 795 of the family's 1533-position model. The record is from RNAcentral.
CCUACGGGAGGCAGCAGUGAGGAAUAUUGGUCAAUGGGCUUACGCCUGAACCAGCCAAGUCGCGUGAGGGAAGACUGCCCUAUGGGUUGUAAACCUCUUUUGUCAGGGAGCAACGCCGGCUACGUGUAGCCGGACUGAGAGUACCUGAAGAAAAAGCAUCGGCUAACUCCGUGCCAGCAGCCGCGGUAAUACGGAGGAUGCGAGCGUUAUCCGGAAUUAUUGGGUGUAAAGGGUGCGUAGACGGAAGAACAAGUUGGUUGUGAAAUCCCUCGGCUCAACUGAGGAACUGCAACCAAAACUAUUCUCCUUGAGUGUCGGAGAGGAAAGUGGAAUUCCUAGUGUAGCGGUGAAAUGCGUAGAUAUUAGGAGGAACACCAGUGGCGAAGGCGACUUUCUGGACGAUAACUGACGUUGAGGCACGAAAGUGUGGGGAGCAAACAGGAUUAGAUACCCCGGUAGUC